CAAGGUGGGGGAGGAAAGUCCGAGCAACAUAGAGCACCACGCAAGUUAACGGCUUGAUGUCCGUGAGGGUAUAGUAACGUAGAAGAAAAUAACCGCCCGCAAGGGUAAGGGUGAGAAGGCGGGGUAAGAGCCCACCGCGAGGGUAGCAAUACUCCUCGGCUGUGCGUCUCGUGGGUUGCAAGACCAUGUAUACCGACAAUUAAGGGUUGCUCGUCCAAUGUCGGGGGGUAGGUUGCUAGAAGCUGCGGGUGACCGUAGUUGUAGAUAAAUGAUAGAGGCCCUUUCGGGGGUACAGAACUCGGCUUAUAGCG
Molecule: RNase P RNA, 311 nt
Filed under: uncultured Alistipes sp.
Lineage: Bacteria; Pseudomonadati; Bacteroidota; Bacteroidia; Bacteroidales; Rikenellaceae
Description: Bacterial RNase P class A
Rfam family: Bacterial RNase P class A
About the family: Ribonuclease P (RNase P) is a ubiquitous endoribonuclease, found in archaea, bacteria and eukarya as well as chloroplasts and mitochondria. Its best characterised activity is the generation of mature 5'-ends of tRNAs by cleaving the 5'-leader elements of precursor-tRNAs.
Source: RNAcentral